RNAcentral lists this ribosomal RNA (253 nucleotides) under uncultured bacterium. RNAcentral's name for it is "partial 16S ribosomal RNA". It matches the Rfam family "Bacterial small subunit ribosomal RNA", at positions 524 to 776 of the family's 1533-position model. The record is from RNAcentral.
GACGAACCGAGCGAACGUUGUUCGGAAUCACUGGGCUUAAAGGGCACGUAGGCGGGUGCUCAAGUCCGGGGUGAAAUCCUCCAGCUCAACUGGAGAACUGCCUCGGAUACUGGGCGUCUCGAGUGUGGUAGGGGUGUGCGGAACUAUCGGUGGAGCGGUGAAAUGCGUUGAUAUCGAUAGGAACUCCGGUGGCGAAGGCGGCACACUGGACUACCACUGACGCUGAUGCGCGAAAGCCAGGGGAGCAAACGGG